UAGGGAAUAUUGCGCAAUGGGCGAAAGCCUGACGCAGCAACGCCGCGUGGGUGAUGAAGCUUCUUGGAGUGUAAAACCCUGUCAGUGGGGAAGAAACGUAUCGGGAGUCACUGCCCGGUACCUGACGGUACCCACAGAGGAAGUCCCGGCUAACUCCGUGCCAGCUGCCGCGGUAAUACGGGGGGGACAAGCGUUGUUCGGAUUCACUGGGCGUAAAGGGCGCGUAGGCGGGCCUUCAAGUCAGGUGUGAAAACUGGCAGCUCAACUGCCAGCUUGCACUUGAUACUGUCGGUCUUGAGUACAGGAGGGGAAAGUGGAAUUCCUGGUGUAGAGGUGAAAUUCGUAGAUGGCAGGAGGAACACCGGUGGCGAAGGCGACUUCCUGGCCCUAUACUGACGCUGAGACGCGAGAGCGUGGGUAGCAAACA
Molecule: ribosomal RNA, 427 nt
Filed under: uncultured prokaryote
Description: bacterial SSU rRNA
Rfam family: Bacterial small subunit ribosomal RNA
Source: RNAcentral